CCUACGGGGGUCAGCAGUGAGGAAUAUUGGUCAAUGGCCGGAAGGCUGAACCAGCCAAGCCGCGUGAAGUACGAAGGUGCCAAGCAUUGUAAACUUCUUUUGUCAAGGGACAAAAUCAGGCUCGAGAGCCUGACCGAGGGUACUUGAAGAAAAAGCAUCGGCUAACUCCGUGCCAGCAGCCGCGGUAAUACGGUGGAUGCGAGCGUUAUCCGGAUUUAUUGGGUUUAAAGGGUGUGUAGGCGGACCGGUAAGUCAGAGGUAAAAGUCCGGGGCGCAACCCCGGCGAGCCGAUGAAACUGGCUGUCUUGAGAUGUCGAGAGGUAUGCGGAAUGCGCAGUGUAGCGGUGAAAUGCUUAGAUAUUGCGCAGAACUCCGAUUGCGAAGGCAGCAUACCGGCGGCGAUCUGACGCUGAGGCACGAAAGCGUGGGUAUCGAACAGGAUUAGAUACCCGGGUAGUC
This 459-nucleotide ribosomal RNA is filed under the name uncultured bacterium. RNAcentral describes it as "partial 16S ribosomal RNA". It matches the Rfam family "Bacterial small subunit ribosomal RNA", at positions 338 to 795 of the family's 1533-position model. The record is from RNAcentral.